ACCUGCGUCGAAAGUGAUUUUGGUCUUGUUGGUGGCCUGGUCAUUGAUAGUGCAGGAAAAGCAUUAUUGACAGCAUUUCCCGUGUUUGGGGGAUUAAUUUAUUCCUACCAAACCCUGAGCUUUUCAGACA
Molecule: small nucleolar RNA, 130 nt
Organism: Crotalus tigris (Tiger rattlesnake)
Lineage: Eukaryota; Metazoa; Chordata; Lepidosauria; Squamata; Viperidae
Product: small nucleolar RNA SNORA71
Exons: 1
Source: RefSeq, a predicted model, not a curated record